UACGGAGGGUGCAAGCGUUGUUCGGAAUUAUUGGGCGUAAAGCGCGUGUAGGCGGCCAGGCAAGUCGGGUGUGAAAUCCCGGGGCUCAACCCCGGAACUGCUCUCGAAACUGCCUGGCUAGAGUCCCGGAGAGGAAGGCGGAAUUCCCGGUGUAGAGGUGAAAUUCGUAGAUAUCGGGAGGAACACCAGUGGCGAAGGCGGCCUUCUGGACGGUGACUGACGCUGAGACGCGAAAGCGUGGGGAGCAAACAGGAUUAGAUACCCGAGUA
Molecule: ribosomal RNA, 269 nt
Filed under: uncultured prokaryote
Description: partial 16S ribosomal RNA
Rfam family: Bacterial small subunit ribosomal RNA
Source: RNAcentral